Molecule: ribosomal RNA, 460 nt
Filed under: uncultured bacterium
Lineage: Bacteria
Description: partial 16S ribosomal RNA
Rfam family: Bacterial small subunit ribosomal RNA
Source: RNAcentral
CCUACGGGAGGCAGCAGUGAGGAAUCUUGGUCAAUGGACGAGAGUCUGAACCAGCAAAGUAGCGUGAAGGAUGACUGCCCUAUGGGUGGUAAACUCCUUUUAUAAAGGAAUAAAACGAGGCUCGUGUGCCUUUUUGCAUGUACUUUAUGAAUAAGGAUAGCCUAACUCAGUGACAGCAGCCGCGGUAAUACGGAGGAUCCGAGCGUUAUCCGGAUUUAUUGGGUUGAAAGGGAGCGUAGAUGGGUUGUUAAGUCAGUUGUGAAAGUUUGCGGCUCAACCGUAAAAUUGCAAUGGAUACUGGGAGACUUGAGUACAGAUGAGGUAGGUGGAAUUCGUGGUGUAGCGGUGAAAUGCUUAGAUAUAACGAAGAACCCCAGUUGCGAAGGCAGCUUACUAAACUGUGACUGACAUUGAUGCUCGAAAGUGUGGGUAGCAAACAGGAUUAGAUACCCUUGUAGUC